CAUGCUGUGAGCUCGAUGAGUAGGGCGGGACACGUGGUAUCCUGUCUGAAUAUGGGGGGACCAUCCUCCAAGGCUAAAUACUCCUGACUGACCGAUAGUGAACCAGUACCGUGAGGGAAAGGCGAAAAGAACCCCGGCGAGGGGAGUGAAAAAGAACCUGAAACCGUGUACGUACAAGCAGUGGGAGCACGCUUAGGCGUGUGACUGCGUACCUUUUGUAUAAUGGGUCAGCGACUUAUAUUCUGUAGCAAGGUUAACCGAAUAGGGGAGCCGAAGGGAAACCGAGUCUUAACUGGGCGUUAAGUUGCAGGGUAUAGACCCGAAACCCGGUGAUCUAGCCAUGGGCAGGUUGAAGGUUGGGUAACACUAACUGGAGGACCGAACCGACUAAUGUUGAAAAAUUAGCGGAUGACUUGUGGCUGGGGGUGAAAGGCCAAUCAAACCGGGAGAUAGCUGGUUCUCCCCGAAAGCUAUUUAGGUAGCGCCUCGUGAAUUCAUCUCCGGGGGUAGAGCACUGUUUCGGCAAGGGGGUCAUCCCGACUUACCAACCCGAUGCAAACUGCGAAUACCGGAGAAUGUUAUCACGGGAGACACACGGCGGGUGCUAACGUCCGUCGUGAAGAGGGAAACAACCCAGACCGCCAGCUAAGGUCCCAAAGUCAUGGUUAAGUGGGAAACGAUGUGGGAAGGCCCAGACAGCCAGGAUGUUGGCUUAGAAGCAGCCAUCAUUUAAAGAAAGCGUAAUAGCUCACUGGUCGAGUCGGCCUGCGCGGAAGAUGUAACGGGGCUAAACCAUGCACCGAAGCUGCGGCAGCGACGCUGAUGCGUUGUUGGGUAGGGGAGCGUU
This 847-nucleotide ribosomal RNA is filed under the name Escherichia coli. Its description in RNAcentral is "partial 23S ribosomal RNA". It matches the Rfam family "Bacterial large subunit ribosomal RNA", at positions 393 to 1240 of the family's 2925-position model. The record is from RNAcentral. Lineage: Bacteria; Pseudomonadati; Pseudomonadota; Gammaproteobacteria; Enterobacterales; Enterobacteriaceae.